This is a long non-coding RNA of Meleagris gallopavo (turkey), 1727 nucleotides long. The record is from Ensembl. NCBI's taxonomy places the organism in Eukaryota, Metazoa, Chordata, Aves, Galliformes, Phasianidae.
AUGGCGCUGUGCGGCCGCUCGCUUCUCCUCCGGCCGUCCCCGCGUCCCGCAGCGCGCCGCCCCAGGGCCGCCGAGGCGUUCGUCAGACAACGUCUGUGUGAAGAGAGAAAUUGGGCACUAAGAGAAAUGGAGGUCGUCUGUUUGCCUGAGAUAGGUGAAUAUGGCUGCUGGGUGAUGGCUGUGUUCUUUCCCAGCCUCUCAGAAAGCAAAUUGAUCACAGGAGGGAAACAAAAAAGGAGGAUCGACUGUUUUCAAACACAUAUAUAUGUAUUUAAUAAAUUCAUUGCUUGCUUGUUUAGAAAGAGCUUAGAAUUUGGAGUGCGUCUCACAAUUCAUAAUCAGGAGCAAAACACCCAACAGGCAGGAAAAAAAACCCAGCAGAAACUGGAAGAGAAAAUGGUUUCCACUCAAGCCCCUUUCUUUUCUGAGCCAUUUCUGUAAUUUGAGAUCCUGUUUCAGAGUUGUCAUGAGAACGUUCAGUGAACAUCUGCAAGCUUUCGAGCUCCGCUGGGAGAUCCGGACAGCAUCUGCAAUUUGGUGUGUUUGUAGGAGGCAUGUCAUCUGUUCUCUUUUUUCUUUUUUCUUCCCUCUCCAGCACUGGUUCUUGUGCUGCCUUUUUGCAGCCCUGAUGGAGGCAGGGAGGUCGGUGUUUGCAAUAAAUUUCCCCAGCGGUCAGCAGAUACCAGGCAGUUAAUAAAAAUAACUUAAAACAAAACAAUCCGUUACCCUCCCUUCCUCCUCCCCCCCUCCGAGUCCCAAACAGGAAUGGAAAAAUUCUUAAGACUAUAUAAAGAAUAGGGAAACGGACGGAGAUGAUUCUUGGAGUUCUUCCACAUGGUGGUUCGGAGUUGUGGUGUGCUGUAUGGUGUGUUGGGAGCUGGUUGACCACAGGGACCCUCAGCAUUGCAACAAGAAAAGAAAGAAUGAGAGUUCUGACAAAAAAAAAAAAGAGGAAAAAUCGCCCCUUAACUAAAAGAUGAGUAAUGCCCAAAGAAGGAUAUGCCUUUUUUAGAAGAUGAUGUCAUGCUUCGUGUGUCUGUGUUUUGCAAUGAAUAAGUGUUUUAAUUGAGAAUACAUGCGUUUCUGAACAAAGCCUCCAUUAGGUACCACCGUCUAAAAUCCAUGUGAGCUUGUUAAUUUUGCAUUACCUUUGUGUGAGAUAGAGUGGGCAGAUCCCCGUUGUUAGUUACCCACUUUUGCAACAGAUGCACGGCAAGAACUGAUCUGUGCUAUGUGUGGGGAAGUGCAAAAUGAGUACUUGGGCUCAUUUUACAUUGUCUCUGCCUAUAUACCUAAUAUUAAACUGUUCUGGUUUUAAUCACCAAGUGGUGAAGUGUGUGGGUUUUUUUUCCUAGAGCUUCAGAAGAGCAGACAGUGGGGUGUUUGGGAGAGUAGUGCUGCAGGAGUGGAAGAGCUGUUGUGGUUUCCCAACCAAUUGUAGCUGGGGACAUCUCUGUGUUGAAAGAUUAACAGUUUGUAUCCAUGUGUUCCUCGUGUAUUUACACCGAGGUUCAGGAUUUGUAAUAGCUUGUCUCACCUAAUUAUUUUUAAUCAUAGAAUGUUUUGGGUUGGAAGGGACCCCACAGAUCAUCACGUUCCAACCCCUCUGCUAUAGGUAGGGCCGCCAACCUCCAGAGAGGUUUUUUUUUAAAGGAGCUCUAUAUUUUAGCUAUGUAGAGAAGGACCUCAAGUUCAAGGAAAAGAGAAGGCUCUGGGGAGAUCUCAUU